This 1788-nucleotide ribosomal RNA is filed under the name Triticum aestivum (bread wheat). RNAcentral describes it as "partial small subunit ribosomal RNA". Lineage: Eukaryota; Viridiplantae; Streptophyta; Magnoliopsida; Poales; Poaceae. The record is from RNAcentral.
AUGGACUCCGGCGAGGCACCUGAUGAGCGGAUUCGCGAGGAAGGGGGUUUCCGGAGGAGCGACCGGAGUGCCAGCGAUACCCUGACUCGGCGUCACGCAGAUGGAGCAGGCUCAGACGCUAAUGGGCAUGACCGCGGCCUCACCAAGCGCGCGAAGGACGAAGUGCCGGACUCACCGGAGCCGCCGCCGGCCGUGGGGCCUCGCCGUGUCCAGAGCAGAGAGGAGCAGUUCGUGUGGCCGUGGAUGGGCGUGCUGGCCAACGUGCCCACCGAGCGGAGAGGCGGGCGGCAGAUCGGGGAGAGCGGGAACCGGCUCAAGGAGCAGCUCGCCGCCUUCUGCCCGCACAAGGUCGUGCCUCUGUGGAGCCACAGAGGCCACACCGGGAACGCCAUCGUCGAGUUCGGGAAGGACUAUGCCUCUCUCGGCAAUGGUCUCAAAUUUGAGAGUCACUUUGAGGCACAGGGCCGUGGCAAACUUAGCUGGGAGGCGAGCAGGUGCCGAGGAGCGCCGGAGAUGAUGUUCGGGUGGGUUGCAAGGGCCGACGAUCGACGGAGGCCGGGGCUGAUCGGGGAGUACCUGCAGAGGAAUGGCGAUGUGAAGUCCGUUGCAGAGCUUGAGAGCGAAGGGACGCGCAAGACUGACAAGCUGGUGGCCAAUUUGGCCAGCCAGAUUGAGGUGAAGGCCAAGCAUGUCCAGGAGCUUGAGUCCAAGUACAGUGAGAGGACUACCUCGAUGGACAGGGUGAUGGAAGAGAAGGAGCUCAUGCUCCAGCGAUACAACGAUGAAAUCCACAAGAUGCAGCAGCUUGCUCGUCGGCACUCUCAGAUGAUUAUCAAUGAGAAUCAGAAGGUCCGUUCGGAGCUGGAUUCCAAGAUGCAGGAUCUUGAGCUCAAAUCCAAGCAGCUCGAUGAGCUUGCUGUGCGUAGCGAAUCUGACAUAAGGAAUCUCGAGAAGGAGAAGGAAAAGAACAUGAUCAAGGCAAAAUAUCUCAAGAUGGCAACAUUGGAGCAACAGAAGGCCGACGAAAUGGUCCUGAAGCUUGUGGAAAAACACAAGAGGGAGAAACAAGCUGCUGUAGAUGAGAUUAUCAAGUUAGAGCAGAAACUGGAUGCCAGACAAAAGCUUGAGUUAAAAAUAAAACAUCUGCAGGGAAAAUUGAAUGUUAUGAAGCAUAUGCCAGGCGAGGAAGACUUUGAAUCAAAGAGGAAAAUUGAUGAACUUAGCAAGGAGCUGCAGGAGAAGUAUGAUGAAAUAAAUGAGAUGGAAUCACUCCAUGGGGCUCUGCUUAUUAAGGAAAGGAUGAGCAACGAUGAGUUGCAAGAUGCUCGGAAGAAGCUAAUAGAUGGUUUGUUGGAUGUCACAACUGGCCGAGCAAAUAUAGGCAUUAAAAGAAUGGGUGAUCUUGAUCUGAAAUCAUUUGCGAUUGCCUGCAAACGUAAAAUGGCAAAAGAAGAUGCAGAAGUUACUGCCUCCAUUCUUUGUUCAAAGUGGGAGGAUGAGAUUAGAAAUCCAGAAUGGCACCCUUUUAAAGUUGUUGUGGAUGGCGGCAAAGCGAAGGAGAUUCUCCGUGAGGACGAUGAGAAGCUGCGGGAGCUGAAGGAGAAGUACGGUGAGGAGGUGUGCACCCUGGUGACGAAGGCGCUGCUGGAGGUGAACGAGUACAACCCGAGCGGGCGCUACUCGGUGCCGGAGCUGUGGAACUUCAAGGAAGACCGGAAGGCGACACUCAAGGAGGUGGUGGAGUUCGUCCUCAAGCAGUGGCGCGCCCUCAAGAAGAGGAAGCGCUGA